GUCUAUUAGGGGUACCGAGAUUAACACAAGCAACUCGGAAGAAACUCGCUGGCGAAUUCGAGGAACGUCCGGUGCAACCGAGUUAGUUGCUCGAUCGGGAGCGAGUUUCCUUCGAGCCGCGAAAGGGAUGGGAGCACGAUCUAAUGUUCCCUAACUAGAGAUAAAUACAUUUCUUAUACUAGUAAUAAAAUUAUUCGCAGCGAGGCAACCAAGUCUUCGAACAAAUCAGCCUUUAACGAAUCCUUCGAAAAGAAGAUUAAAAAGUAAGGGAUGGCGAGGCAGCAGCGGGUACACUCUUUAUGUGUCCAACUCGAAUCGCGUUAGUCGAGUAUGAGUUGAAUGAAGCAGCCGCGGCGCACUGCAUCCUAUCGGAGGAUCCCCUCGCGGAGGAGACGCUCGUCGGGCACCAGCCCGCGGACUGCGAGCUUCCGAGGAAGCUUGAUGGUUACUUUUUCUUCUGGGCUUUCUCCGCGGCUUUUGUGACCUUGC
This 489-nucleotide unclassified non-coding RNA is filed under the name Bombus terrestris (buff-tailed bumblebee). RNAcentral describes it as "misc RNA ENSBTSG00005034204.1". The record is from RNAcentral. Lineage: Eukaryota; Metazoa; Arthropoda; Insecta; Hymenoptera; Apidae.